Molecule: long non-coding RNA, 634 nt
Filed under: Monodelphis domestica (gray short-tailed opossum)
Lineage: Eukaryota; Metazoa; Chordata; Mammalia; Didelphimorphia; Didelphidae
Description: lncRNA (ENSMODG00000033866.2)
Source: RNAcentral
AUUUAGUCCUGCCCUGGGGAGCCUUUCCUUCAAAGGAAAAGAAUUUAGGGUUACCAGUAACAGAAUAAUAAACUCUCCUAAGGGACUCCCCUACAGUAAACUCUUUGAGGUAGGGACUAUUUUUUGUUUUGUCUUUAUAGCUCCAGGGCCCAGGAUGUGACAGGUACUUAAUUACUUCAUCUUUGAUUGAAUUAUAGGUCUUCAGAGGACAGCUAGUCUAAGCUAAUCUAUGCCUGCACAACAGUCAAGCAACCUACCCCCUCUGUUGGUCUCUUCAGGGACUGUACAGUCCUUAUGACAUGCAGUAGCACCUUAGGGGCUGCUACUAAGGAGAAAGAACUCAGAAAGUCAAACAACCUUCCCUUCUGGUUGGUUCCUCUUUAUCUCGAGAGUUCCAGGGGAGAGAGUUCUGGACCUGGAGUAGAAGAUCUGAGUUUAAAAAGUCUGUCUCAGACACUUACUAUGUGACCUUGGACAAGUCACAUUCUAUUUGCCCCAGUUUCUUCAUUUGUUAAAUGAUAAUAAUAACAUCUACAAUCCAGUGGUACCUCCCUACCAGUGGUGGUUGUGAGGAUAAAAUUGAUAAUAUUUUUUAAAUGCUUUGUAAAUUUUCCAAUGCUACAUAAAUGCUAUU